This is a long non-coding RNA of Vigna unguiculata (cowpea), 903 nucleotides long. The record is from RefSeq and is a predicted model, not a curated record. NCBI's taxonomy places the organism in Eukaryota, Viridiplantae, Streptophyta, Magnoliopsida, Fabales, Fabaceae.
GUUAAGAAUAACGGGAGUGUUAAUAUUUUUAGAAGAGGUUUGUAACCAUUACAAUAUAUUUUUCAUCCUUCUCGCCCUAUUUUUCAGCCUUUCCGUCCCAAGAUUUUACACUCACUUUAACUUUUUUCCUAAUUUCAAACACCGAAGCGCGUUUUCCUUUUCGUUUUCAUUUCAACUAGGGUUCAUCUCUGUCAUCAAAUCAUAGUCGUAGGUGCUCCUAUCGCUCGUCAGCCGGUGCUCGUCUCCUAGUGCUCAUCGGCCAGUGGUUGUAGUGCUCGUAGUCUAUCGUCUUCUGAUUUCCAACAUCCUUGGCUUUCUAGGGUGAAUUUUUGGUGGGAAAGGGGUGAUGGUGUUGUCGUGCACUAACCCUCUGCUCUGGUUGCACGUGAUGGUGGUGUGGAUGCCGCGGUGGGCGCAUGCGGAAAGGGACCCUAAGAUACCGGUGGUGAGGGACAGGGAUGAGACGGUGAUGGUGUCACAGUUCAUGAUGGAGUUGCAGGGGCUGAAUGUUGUGGACAAAGAAGAACUGGAAAAAUCCUAGAGGAGUCCUAAUAUCACCUGGGCCAGAUUUGGAACUUGAACCAUCCGUACCAUUGUUUGGUGUGUGCUUUGCAGUGCAUUAGUGAGGCUUAUGGAGAUUCGAGUAGUUGUAGCGUUUGUCGGGGAGGUCAGAGCACUACAGGCCUAUUCCUCUACGUUGAGAACUGCACAAUGGCUACAGAAUUGGAUUUGCAAAGGGAAUGGGAUUGUGUCAUGUAUGAAGUUGAAGACUUGGGCAGAAUGACACAUUUUUGAGAGAUUUAGAAAAUGAUAAGAUUUGCCCCUUAAAUAUUAUUUUCUUCAAUAUUAUGCAUUUUUUUUAUAUUUUACAUUGUAAUUUCCGAUUAAUACUUUAUCUUAAAU